Molecule: ribosomal RNA, 1383 nt
Filed under: Loliolus beka
Lineage: Eukaryota; Metazoa; Mollusca; Cephalopoda; Myopsida; Loliginidae
Description: 16S ribosomal RNA
Source: RNAcentral
AAUAACAAAACUAUAAAAAAGAUUAUAUCAUGAAUACGUAUUAUAAUAAAUAAUAUAUCAUAAUUGUAAUAAAAAUUUUAGCCUUCUUCGAUCCUUUCGUACUAAAAGAAGCAUUAAUAGUUUUAAAAGAUAGAAACCAACCUGGCUCACGCCGGUCUGAACUCAGAUCAUGUAAAGUUUUAAAAAUCGAACAGAUUUACCUUAUAAAGCUUCUACACCUUAAGGUUACUUUAAUCCAACAUCGAGGUCGCAAUCUUACUUUUCAAUAAGAGCUCUCUAAGUAAAUUACGCUGUUAUCCCUAUGGUAACUAUAUUAUAAGCAAUAUCUAAUACAAUAUAUUAAUUAAUCGGUUACUUAAUCUAACAAUACACACAUCUAAGGAAGUUACUUUCCAAUCAGUUAUUCCUUAAUCACCCCAAUUAAAAUUUAUAUAAUACAAUUAUAAAUAUUAAUAAAAGCACUAACAAAAAUUAUAAGCUCAAUAGGGUCUUCUCGUCCCAUUAAAAAAUUCAAGCUUUUUCACUAUGAAAAUUAAUUUCUAAAAAAUAAAGUUGAGACAGAUUAACCUUCGUCAAACCAUUCAUUCUAGCCUCAAAUUAUAAGGCAAAUUAUUAUGCUACCUUAGUACAGUUAAAAUACCGCAGCUGUUAAAAACUUCACCGAGCAGGCCCAACUCUUUAUAUACAUAUAAAUAACAAAGAGAGAUGUUUUUGAUAAACAGGCGAGAUUAAUAUUUGCCGAAUUCCUUAACUUUACUUUAUUUUAUACAUCUAAAUAUUUAAUUAUCUCAUCUUACAAUAAAAAUAGAUUUAAAUAAUUUAUAAACCAAUACUCAUAUUAACAUUAUAUUUAAUCAACCAAAAUUAAUGAUCAUUUAUUAACUACAUGCACCUGAACUACUAAUUAUUACUAAUCAUCAAUUAAAUCAUUAAGAAAAACAAAACUUUAACCCUACUUAAAUAAUUAAUCAAAAUUUUAAAUAUUCUACACUUUUAUAUGAAGCUUAUCCCUCAUACAAUAAACUAAUAUCUAAACAUAAUUUAUUAUACAAAUAUUAUAAUACUUAAAUAUUCUUCACCAAUAAACUAGCUAUCCUAGAAAUCGAUAAACAUUUCAUUACCAUUUAAUAAUAAACAUAUAACUAUACCACGUUAACAUAAUAUUACUAAAUAAAUCCUCCUAAUUCGAGAUAAUUUUAUAAUAAAUUACAAUAUCAUCAACCCAUUAUACAAAAGGUACAAAAAUUUACUUCUACUAAAACCUAAAUACAAUUUAUUCCUUUACAGUACAAUAACAAAAAAAUUUAUCUAUACUACUAAUACCCAAAUAAAAAACAAUUUUAAUAACCUUAAUAAACACAUAUACACAUUAACAUACCUUUA